RNAcentral lists this long non-coding RNA (228 nucleotides) under Elaeis guineensis (African oil palm). RNAcentral describes it as "long non-coding RNA (EGUI_LNC035797)". The record is from RNAcentral. Lineage: Eukaryota; Viridiplantae; Streptophyta; Magnoliopsida; Arecales; Arecaceae.
GGAUCUUAGAGAACGAGAUAAACAGAUCAGCUAACCUUGUGUAAUGCGGGUCAAUUUUUUGAAAAUGUCCUAGCUUAAUUGCAUGAAAAAAUCAACUGCAUCCAUUAGAAAGGAUAUUUAUUAAACGAAAUAGUAAUACUGGAUGAGAAACCGUAAGCAUAAUGAAGGCAACUUUAGAAAGAAAAGGAUACAUGAAACAAGAAUAUUAGUUUUAAAAUUAAUUUAACA